Tachysurus vachellii is the source of this 170-nucleotide long non-coding RNA. RefSeq lists it as uncharacterized. The transcript is spliced from 3 exons. The record is from RefSeq and is a predicted model, not a curated record. NCBI's taxonomy places the organism in Eukaryota, Metazoa, Chordata, Actinopteri, Siluriformes, Bagridae.
AUUUGUCUCAAAUACAGAUGGAGGCCCUAAACUUGUGUUCGACCAGCAGCACGUAAAGAUCAAAAUGAUCACAGAACAGAAUGAUCAGAAUGAUCAAAUCACAGAACGCUGAAAGGAAUGAACAACAUAGCGACUGUCCUUGUGAUCCUUAUCCUCAUCAUAAACUGCAC